Molecule: unclassified non-coding RNA, 421 nt
Filed under: soil metagenome
Description: partial contains 5.8S ribosomal RNA, internal transcribed spacer 2, and large subunit ribosomal RNA
Rfam family: 5.8S ribosomal RNA (bases 1-120)
Source: RNAcentral
GAUGAAGAACGCAGUGAAAUGCGAUACGUAAUGUGAAUUGCAGAAUUCAGUGAAUCAUCGAAUCUUUGAACGCAUAUUGCGCUCUUUGGUAUUCCGAAGAGCAUGCUUGUUUGAGUAUCAGUAAACACCUCAACCUCUUCUUGAUUUUUCAAAAGGAGGGUGGACUUGAGCUAUCCCAACAACCUUUACCGGUCGGCGGGCGGCUUGAAAUGCAGGUGCAGCUGGACUUUUAUCUGAGCUAAAAGCAUAUCUAUUUAGUCCUCGUCAAACAGGAUUAUUACUUUUGCUGCAGCUAACAUAAAGGAUAAUUGUCCUCUUUGCUGACUGAUGCAGGAUUUUACGACACUUUAUGUGUUGUUCAACUCGAUCUCAAAUCAAGUAAGACUACCCGCUGAACUUAAGAAUAUCAAUAAGCGGAGGA